RNAcentral lists this ribosomal RNA (507 nucleotides) under Triticum aestivum (bread wheat). Its description in RNAcentral is "partial small subunit ribosomal RNA". The record is from RNAcentral. Lineage: Eukaryota; Viridiplantae; Streptophyta; Magnoliopsida; Poales; Poaceae.
AUGGGAUUUGAGGUGGAUUUCCUAGGAGAGCGAGUAGGAAGGGUGAUGGUGGGGUUCAUGGGGAAGAUGAAGAAGCAGAAGGUGAUCCACGGCCCGCACGCGACGCCGAGCCACCACAGGCCUCCUCCCCUGUCGCUCGCCGCCAUGCCGGGACGGCGUACUGGGCCUUGCCGGAAGCCGAGGACAAGCGAGACAAUGGCCAUCCACCCUGGGCCAAGGACAAGCACAGAGCGACCAGCGGCGAUAACUAUGCUCGGGCAGAUGGAUCCCGCCGCGGCGGAGUUCGAGGAGAACAGUAGCUGUGAUGACUCAACAAGAUGGAAGUGCGGACAAGGGAUGAGUGCAAUCGGCUCAGGUAAACUCCUCCUGUACACCGUCUGGCAUCAGUUCCAGUUGCGCCCGAAGCUUUCAAGCUCGCUGCUCCACUUAGUUUGCCGAAACACUGUCGGCAUGUGCUCCAUCCAAGGUACGCCAUCGUCCAAUUCUAUCAUCAGUUUUGAACUUUAA